GACGAACGCUGGCGGCGUGCCUAAUACAUGCCAGUAGAACGCUGAAGCGAGGAGCUUGCUCUUCUUGGAUGAGUUGCGAACGGGUGAGUAACGCGUAGGUAACCUGCCUUGUAGCGGGGGAUAACUAUUGGAAACGAUAGCUAAUACCGCAUAACAAUGGAUGACACAUGUCAUUUAUUUGAAAGGGGCAAUUGCUCCACUACAAGAUGGACCUGCGUUGUAUUAGCUAGUAGGUGAGGUAAUGGCUCACCUAGGCGACGAUACAUAGCCGACCUGAGAGGGUGAUCGGCCACACUGGGACUGAGACACGGCCCAGACUCCUACGGGAGGCAGCAGUAGGGAAUCCUCGGCAAUGGGGGCAACCCUGACCGAGCAACGCCGCGUGAGUGAAGAAGGUUUUCGGAUCGUAAAGCUCUGUUGUAAGUCAAGAACGGGUGUGAGAGUGGAAAGUUCACACUGUGACGGUAGCUUACCAGAAAGGGACGGCUAACUACGUG
Molecule: ribosomal RNA, 497 nt
Filed under: uncultured bacterium
Lineage: Bacteria
Description: partial 16S ribosomal RNA
Rfam family: Bacterial small subunit ribosomal RNA
Source: RNAcentral